RNAcentral lists this ribosomal RNA (325 nucleotides) under uncultured Rhogostoma. Its description in RNAcentral is "SSU rRNA". The stretch from base 104 to 325 matches the Rfam family "Eukaryotic small subunit ribosomal RNA", at positions 733 to 955 of the family's 1831-position model. Lineage: Eukaryota; Cercozoa; Thecofilosea; Cryomonadida. The record is from RNAcentral.
GAUUUCUGGUUUGAUGUACCUGUCCCGCUGCGGUAACGCAUGUGAGUGACGGAGUAUGUUUGCCAUCCUUCUAGAGAGCGCAGGCUAUCCUUUACUGGACCGGUCUGUGUCAUCUAGAUCUUUUACUUUGAAAAAAUUAGAGUGUUUCAAGCAGGCGUUUUGCUAUGAAUACAUUAGCAUGGAAUAAUGAGUUAGGACUUCGGUUCUAUUUUGUUGGUUUCUAGGACUGAAGUAAUGAUUGAUAGGGAUAGUUGGGGGUGCUAGUAUUCAGCGGCCAGAGGUGAAAUUCUUGGAUUCGCUGAAGACUAACUUAUGCGAAAGCAUU